CAAGUUCUAGGACAUUGAGAAUUCCAUGAGAACAAACCCUUGGAAAUGUACCACUUGAACAGCUCUUCUUGUUUGGUCUACAUAGUCAAGUAUCUGAUCACCAGCAAGGAUAAACUCAAACAGGCCAGGAACAAACUGGCAAACACAAAACACAGAUGCAUGCCAGAGACCAAGCUUUGCACAGAUGGAUCCACUGAAUUCAGUGGCACUCUACUAAGAACCUAAGCUACUAGGCUUACUGAAUACUUCACUUCUCUGAACCAAAUGAGUGGUGUGUACUUUUGAUGACUGCCCUGAGGUCAUACAGACUGCCUUCCGGGAAAACGUGCAAAAAGAACUAAGAGAUUAAUGCCUAUCUCCUGCUUUUAAUCCAUUGGAGACAAAUCUGAUACCUAUAGAUCCUCUUAUAAGUAGCUCCUAGUUUCUUUUGCUUACUCUAACAUAAUUCCUUUUAAAAUGUUUCCUAAUGGAAACAGUGGCAAGUCAGAACUGCUCUACCACUUUCAAUUUUGCAUGUGUAUUUCCUUUUCUGACCAUUCAGUGGAAGAGUGUUCAGGCCAAACAAAAGGAUUCUAAGAGGGAUUAACAGCCACUUUCCAUCAUUAAUGCCUAAAAAUUGCUUUUUGCCCUUGUACUUCUAAAAACUUAGUGACCUUACUGACUAUGCAGACUGUUUUUAUAUACACUGAAAAUCUAAGCAUUAAUCUUCAAAACGAGGAUAAUAGGGUUUACAAAGAAAAGCUCUUACAUGGAAAGUGAAGUUGAUAUUCUCCUCCAUACAAGUAAGUGGUGACUCUUUCUCAUUUGUUCCAUACACAAACGAAGCUGGUGUUACAAAUCUAAAACGGUUCAGAAAUUAUGUAGUAGAUUUGAUAUACAGCAUUAACAUAACUUUCUGCUCCAUACUAUCUCCAGUAAGGUUAAUUCUAAGAAAAGAAUUACCUGAGUUUGCAGUUAAGUAAAGCCUGGAACAGAGUAGAAGGCCUCUAUUUUUGUACAGUUUAUUUUAAAAAGGCAGAUUAACCAGAAGUUACAAACCAAAAACUAAUAUCCAUGAACAUACCACAACAAACCCAGAAUAUGGUCCAUGGUAAGCAAGGCAUGCGAUGUAACAGUCUAAUUUCACAUUGAGAAAAGCAUCUCUGGAGCAGAAGGAGCUAUGUUUUGAGAAAUAGUUGCUCUUCUCUUCAACAUCUAACUGAGGUAUCUCUUGUUUCCUUACCGGCUUUCAGUUCUAUAUUCAUCUCCAUCUUAAGUUAUCAAAAUUAAUUUGCAUUUUUCAGGACUGUUUGUUCCAGAGGAACAAUAAAAGGCAUCUAGAGAAAGUUGCUA
Molecule: long non-coding RNA, 1332 nt
Organism: Anas platyrhynchos (mallard)
Lineage: Eukaryota; Metazoa; Chordata; Aves; Anseriformes; Anatidae
Source: RefSeq, a predicted model, not a curated record